GGAAGAAGCGAAAGUGACGGUACCUGCAGAAGAAGCACCGGCUAACUACGUGCCAGCAGCCGCGGUAAUACGUAGGGUGCGAGCGUUAUCCGGAAUUAUUGGGCGUAAAGAGCUCGUAGGCGGUUUGUCGCGUCUGUCGUGAAAGUCCGGGGCUUAACCCCGGAUCUGCGGUGGGUACGGGCAGACUAGAGUGCAGUAGGGGAGACUGGAAUUCCUGGUGUAGCGGUGGAAUGCGCAGAUAUCAGGAGGAACACCGAUGGCGAAGGCAGGUCUCUGGGCUGUAACUGACGCUGAGGAGCGAAAGCAUGGGGAGCGAACAGGAUUAGAUACCCUGGUAGUCCAUGCCGUAAACGUUGGGCACUAGGUGUGGGGACCAUUCCACGGUUUCCGUGCCGCAGCUAACGCAUUAAGUGCCCCGCCUGGGGAGUACGGCCGCAAGGCUAAAACUCAAAGGAAUUGACGGGGGCCCGCACAAGCGGCGGAGCAUGCGGAUUAAUUCGAUGCAACGCGAAGAACCUUACCAAGGCUUGACAUGUUCUCGAUCGCCGUAGAGAUACGGUUUCCCCUUUGGGGCGGGUUCACAGGUGGUGCAUGGUUGUCGUCAGCUCGUGUCGUGAGAUGUUGGGUUAAGUCCCGCAACGAGCGCAACCCUCGUUCCAUGUUGCCAGCACGUCGUGGUGGGGACUCAUGGGAGACUGCCGGGGUCAACUCGGAGGAAGGUGAGGACGACGUCAAAUCAUCAUGCCCCUUAUGUCUUGGGCUUCACGCAUGCUACAAUGGCCGGUACAAUGGGUUGCGAUACUGUGAGGUGGAGCUAAUCCCAAAAAGCCGGUCUCAGUUCGGAUUGGGGUCUGCAACUCGACCCCAUGAAGUCGGAGUCGCUAGUAAUCGCAGAUCAGCAACGCUGCGGUGAAUACGUUCCCGGGCCUUGUACACACCGCCCGUCAAGUCACGAAAGU
This is a ribosomal RNA of 959 nucleotides. It matches the Rfam family "Bacterial small subunit ribosomal RNA", at positions 443 to 1411 of the family's 1533-position model.